RNAcentral lists this ribosomal RNA (331 nucleotides) under uncultured Oscillospiraceae bacterium. RNAcentral describes it as "bacterial SSU rRNA". It matches the Rfam family "Bacterial small subunit ribosomal RNA", at positions 27 to 334 of the family's 1533-position model. The record is from RNAcentral. Lineage: Bacteria; Bacillati; Bacillota; Clostridia; Eubacteriales; Oscillospiraceae.
AAAACAGGGACGAACGCUGGCGGCGUGCUUAACACAUGCAAGUCGAACGGGACUACUAUGAAGGAGUUUUCGGACAACGGAGUAGUAGUUUAGUGGCGGACUGGUGAGUAACGCGUGAGGAACCUGCCUUUCAGAGGGGGACAACAGCUGGAAACGGCUGCUAAUACCGCAUGAAGCAUUGCUGGGACAUCCCGGGAAUGCCAAAGAUUUAUCGCUGAAAGAUGGCCUCGCGUCUGAUUAGCUAGUUGGUGAGGUAACGGCCCACCAAGGCGACGAUCAGUAGCCGGACUGAGAGGUUGACCGGCCACAUUGGGACUGAGAUACGGCCCAG